RNAcentral lists this long non-coding RNA (217 nucleotides) under Elaeis guineensis (African oil palm). RNAcentral's name for it is "long non-coding RNA (EGUI_LNC051683)". The record is from RNAcentral. Lineage: Eukaryota; Viridiplantae; Streptophyta; Magnoliopsida; Arecales; Arecaceae.
CCCGUUUUAAUUGCCUUUUAUGCUCCCUAAAAAUGCUCUAACGGCUCUUUUUCUGCCUAAUAUAUUUUCUCUUAUUUCUUAAUGCUAUAAAAGGUUUCAAAAGGUGAAAAUACAGGAGAGAUACACAAGGGAUCCAAAAAUCUACACGAGAGAGAUUGAGAUCAACGAAAUACACAAAAGAAAAAGAAAGGCGAUCCACAAUCCACACAAGAGAGAC